GACGAACGCUGGCGGCGUGCUUAACACAUGCAAGUCGAACGCUGAAGCACCAGCUUGCUGGUGUGGAUGAGUGGCGAACGGGUGAGUAAUACGUGAGUAACCUGCCCUUGACUCUGGGAUAAGCCCGGGAAACUGGGUCUAAUACUGGAUGCUACAUGUCACCGCAUGGUGGUGUGUGGAAAGGGUUUACUGGUCUUGGAUGGGCUCACGGCCUAUCAGCUUGUUGGUGAGGGAAUGGCUCACCAAGGCGACGACGGGUAGCCGGCCUGAGAGGGUGACCGGCCACACUGGGACUGAGACACGGCCCAGACGCCUACGGGAGGCAGCAGUGGGGAAUAUUGCACAAUGGGCGAAAGCCUGAUGCAGCGACGCCGCGUGAGGGAUGACGGCCUUCGGGUUGUAAACCUCUUUCAGCAGGGAAGAAGCCACAAGUGACGGUACCUGCAGAAGAAGCGCCGGCUAACUACGUG
Molecule: ribosomal RNA, 470 nt
Filed under: uncultured bacterium
Lineage: Bacteria
Description: partial 16S ribosomal RNA
Rfam family: Bacterial small subunit ribosomal RNA
Source: RNAcentral